AAGAGAUCGGGAUAACACCUGGAAACAGAUGCUAAUACCGGAUAACAACAGAUGAUGCCUAUCAACUAGUUUAAAAGAUGGUUCUGNCUAUCACUCUUGGAUGGACCUGCGGUGCAUUAGCUAGUUGGUAGGGUAACGGCCUACCAAGGCGAUGAUGCAUAGCCGAGUUGAGAGACUGAUCGGCCACAUUGGGACUGAGACACGGCCCAAACUCCUACGGGAGGCAGCAGUU
Molecule: ribosomal RNA, 232 nt
Filed under: uncultured Lactobacillus sp.
Lineage: Bacteria; Bacillati; Bacillota; Bacilli; Lactobacillales; Lactobacillaceae
Description: partial 16S ribosomal RNA
Rfam family: Bacterial small subunit ribosomal RNA
Source: RNAcentral